UGAACAUCCAGGUCACUUCCUGUUCACCUGACAGGGAGCACCCAGGUCACUUCCUGUUCCUGACAGUGAACACCUAAGCUACUUCCUGUUCACCUGUUAAUGAACAUUCAGGCCACUUCCUGCUCACCUGACAAUGAACAUCCAGGCCGCUUCCUGUUCACCUGACGGGAAACACCGAGGUCACUUCCUGAUUUAGGUUGUUACGGAUGCACCUGCCAUGAGCUUUGAUGUUAAGUCUUUUUAUGGGCACUUACCUUCUGGCAUCUGGAUAUUACGAUUGAUGUUAGAACCUGAAGUGUUUUCCAUCGACAUCCCUAAAUGUCUUCUUCUAGUAACCGUGCAAGUCCAUCAUUGCGCAUGUCACAGGAUUGUUCUACGUUUGGUUUUGCAGGGAAGUUGUAAGCAAUCCUGCAGCUGAUCUCAAAUCUAGCCCUAAAAUGGGGAAGCUGGUCCCUGAAGUAUUUAUCAGAGCCCUGGAGGGUAAAGAGGCUCCAUUUCUAAAGAGGAGAUUAUUUGUAUUUGUCAGGCUGGCCCCAGAGAAUAGUGGAAUUGUUACCUGCAGAAACUGCUCCAAUGAAAGAGAAUAGAGAAUUGCUGCGGCUCAGGAUGAAUCAAAACAAGAAUGAAGGCAGAGAGGAGCUUUAGAAAAAGAGCCAAUGGUUUGGGAAUUUGAGAACAAUGGUAAAUACUGGAAGCUGCAGCUCUGGAGAAAGGGAAACCUUCACCUAUAAAUCAACAAACACAUCUUAGGAAGUCAAGAUGGAAGAGUCCCUUUUUUUUUUAAACAUGGAUGAGAAUGCUUCAGAUCUCUGCCAGCAACUUUCAAGGACACGAUACAAUAUUGGUAACCAGUGUCACCACACUGCCCCUCGCAUCCCCAGAAGUCAGUCCCCUAGUUGGAAGUGUGUGCCCUUGGACCAGCGUCUCCCGGGUGUGCUCCCCCGUGUAAAUAAACCCACUUAGCAAAAAGA
Long non-coding RNA from Canis lupus familiaris (dog), 971 nucleotides. RefSeq lists it as uncharacterized. The transcript has 4 exons. The record is from RefSeq and is a predicted model, not a curated record. Lineage: Eukaryota; Metazoa; Chordata; Mammalia; Carnivora; Canidae.